UUUCUGUUUGAUCCCGGCAGAGGCUACUGCUAUUGGGGUUCGAUUAAGCCAUGCAAGUUGAACGAUUCUUCGGAAUCGUGGCGAACGGCUCAGUAACACGUGGAUAACCUACCCUUAGGACCGGUAUAACCCUGGGAAACUGGGGACAAUCCCGGAUAGGUGAUUUUUUCUGUAAUGAUUUUUCAUUUAAAUGCUCCGGCGCCUGAGGAUGGGUCUGCGGCAGAUUAGGUAGUUGGUAGGGUAAUGGCCUACCAAGCCGGUGAUCUGUACGGGUUGUGAGAGCAAGAGCCCGGAGAUGGAACCUGAGACAAGGUUCCAGGCCCUACGGGGCGCAGCAGGCGCGAAACCUCCGCAAUGCGAGAAAUCGCGACGGGGGGACCCCAAGUGCCACUCUUAACGGGGUGGCUUUUCUUGAGUGUAAAAAGCUUUUGGAAUAAGGGCUGGGCAAGACCGGUGCCAGCCGCCGCGGUAACACCGGCAGCUCUAGUGGUAGCCAUUUUUAUUGGGCCUAAAGCGUUCGUAGCCGGUUUGAUAAGUCUCUGGUGAAAUCCUGUAGCUUAACUGUGGGAAUUGCUGGAGAUACUAUUAGACUUGAGGUCGGGAGAGGUUAGCGGUACUCCCAGGGUAGGGGUGAAAUCCUGUAAUCCUGGGAGGACCACCUGUGGCGAAGGCGGCUAACUGGAACGAACCUGACGGUGAGGGACGAAAGCCAGGGGCGCGAACCGGUUUAGAUACCCGGGUAGUCCUGGCCGUAAACG
RNAcentral lists this ribosomal RNA (758 nucleotides) under uncultured archaeon. RNAcentral describes it as "bacterial SSU rRNA". It matches the Rfam family "Archaeal small subunit ribosomal RNA", at positions 1 to 759 of the family's 1478-position model. The record is from RNAcentral.